UCCCACUCCAAGUCUCCAACCUUAGAUGCGGCAAUUAGUAGACCACGGCCCAUCAAACUUAGGCCCAUUUCGCUGGAAUAUAUAAGCAACCACCAGCAGGCUAACCCUAACACCACAUCCCACAGGUCUGCCCCUUGCUCAGCCAACUCAGCCGCCGUCCUUCCUCCUAUCCAUCUCCCAAUCUCCCUGCUGCACAGCGACGAGUGCAACCUCCGCAUUCCCCGCACUCUGGAUCUCCAGCCACCUCGCCAUAGCUCUGCAGCACGCACGAGAGUGACCCACCGCACUCUCUACGUGUGAGCGUGUCCCAAGCUCCCAUCGAUGAAGGCCUGCUUCCUCAUCUCCGCAAGCGGCAAAGUCCCUGCAUCCAUAGGCCCGCCGCCGCCCACACACGUCUGCACCCGUCAUCCAACUCUGCCUGAAGCUCCUCCCCCAGUGCUGCCGACGAGCUGCCCCCCUCCCCCCCCCCCCCCCCCGGCCAGGCGGGACCCCCUCGCCUUGCGCUUAGUCGCGCCUAGGCGGCCGCUUAGCGUUGCCUUUUUGAACAUUGAUGGUAGAAGAUUACAACGACUUCGUUCAAAAUUCUAAUAUAUCUUACAAGGUUUGGCCAUCUUUGAAUUAUAGUUAAAUGACCAGUGCGAGAGAUAAACCACAAAUAGUUACUAAUUUUGUCCUUUAUCAGACCAACUAUUUCUAAGCUUAUGUGUUAUUGACUGUUUUUGCAGGGACUACUCAUUACUAGGUGCAGUAGUGAAAGUGUGCCCUGUAAGGUCGUGUAGCUGAUCAAUGAUUCCAAUCAUGCAUGCAAACUUGGGAGAAUACAAACAAGCAGAACUCAUUUCUACUGAAGAAAGGGCAUCUCAUGGCAUCGGAUUGAUCACCAAACAUUUCAUCAGAGAUCCACCAUUCCAGGUACCCCAAUACCCUACACUACUGAUUCAUCACUAUGUAGUUAGAAUUGGAAAUAAUCCAAAAAAAAGGCAUUUACAGCUGUGCACUGCAGAUAUCUUAAUUGCUUAGUACAAAGGAGGCUAUACAAAACUACUAGCUGUGUUAUAGCAUUGGCAAUGCAAGGAUUCUAUUUGGUUGCACAUUCAGACUAACUGCACUGUACUCUGCGAUAAUGAAAAAUUCAGAGCAGAUUAAUUGCUUGAGACUGCAAGUUGCUACUCGUCACACGAGGCUAGCAGUAGCAGUAUCUGGCUUUCAUGAACUGGAAUACUUGAUGGCCUGCCAUUCAAUGCUGGCACACUAUCUUUGUUUGUUUGCCAGCAUUUAGCUUCUUCUUUGCAUGCAACAUGUAGUGACUAUUAUAUAUAAUAAUUAUCUGUAUUUGGCAUUCCAAACUGUAGUAGAUCCUAAUGUCUAACGGCCUUCAUUGACAGCUGAAAAAGACAUGUUGUAAUGAAUUCCCAUGCAAGUUGGAUUGAUGGGAUCAAGUUUGUUUCAUCUUAUAUAUAUGUUUUGAUUAAUAUCUCAUUUCACUUAUAUCAGUGAUGCAAAUUAAUAGAUCAUGUGUCAACAGUGUUUUGAAAACCUUUCUUAUGACAGCAACAAAUUGGAUUAACAUUGUUUUGUCAUCCAUAGCAAUGCACGGGCAUUAGCUAGUACCAUAAAAGAAACAGCACUAAGCUUUGUGAUGAAGAUAAAACUAUGAAUAAAUAGCGACUUCUAGAUGGCAGACUCCAGAUUUUAUGAAAUGCCAGGCAAAAUUGAUUCAGAUCCUUUGCUGUUCCCAUACAGAUCAAGUACAAUCGAAUGAUGUUUCAUCAGGAAUCAUUUUUUGACUUAGCACUACAACUAAAUGGAAUGAUCAUACAACUAAAAGAUUUAAAGCCACUAAUUGAAUCCAAAUGGUAUUCGCAUAGAUCAAUUUUAGCCUAAAGUACUUGGGAAAAGGAGGUCAUAUACUAGAAAAAAUAUUUCAGGCAAGGUAUCACAGCCCUGUAUAUGACACUCCCUCUCCACCUAUAUUGCAGUUGAGUACAUGAAUCAUCCUUUUAAGAGCCUGCUUGGCAAUUUAGGAAAAUUAUCUUCAUAGGAAUAUUAGUGACUAGGAAAUUAUGUGCACAUAGGUCUAGGAUCUGGAUGAUUGUUUGGCAAACAUGAUCAGUAUCCUAAAAGCAGCCACGGACUUCCCCUUUGCAACCGCAGCGGCUCCUUCGCUGGAGCUUCACCGCGGGGGCGGAUCCAGUAAAGGGACAUGGGUGUGCACAUGUACGCCCAAUAAUUUUUGCAAAAAACUUCGAAGUUAGGAGACUUGCCAAUCAAAUAGCUAGAUAGCUUUAGGUUAGGGUUUCAGUGCUCAGCUUCGUACAGCAUGAAGGGAAGGGAAGGGAAGAGAAGGGGUGCGAGUACCUGGUGGGUGCUCUUCGCCGGCGAAGAGACCAACGAAAGCCUCAGCGCCUAGCUUAGGGCGGCGGCGGCGGUGGCGGCGGCCGACCAGUCGUCUGAGAGCGAGAGGGGGGCGAGAGAGACAGACAAGACAACGCACGAGGAGCCGAGGAGGGGAUGCACAAGCGGACGGAAGGAAGGGGAACGCAGGUUAGGAUGCAUCGACGGCGUCAGAAAGAUCGCACCCGCACGGGCCUUCGUCUGGGCCGUUUUUUUUUUUUGCACAAUUUCUUUGGAAAUUUUUAUUUUUCUUUCUCUCCCUUUCAAUUUUUUUAUUUUUGUUCAUUUCAUAUUUAUUAUUUCGCAGGACACUAUCAAUGGCCAGUAUUUGUUGCGUUCUAAAUUAUAUGUUGCUUCGAUUUUUUUUAAUACGUUAAUUUUGCUAUGUAUCUAUAUAUAAUAAUAUAUGUCUAGAUAUAUAGCAAAAUCAAUAAAAAAUAGUCAAAUGACUUGUAAUUUGGAAUGGAGAAAGUAAGACAUUUGUUUUAAAUAAAUGGAAUAGUAAUGAUAUUUAUGAGUAUAUUUGUAAAUAUAAUUAAAUGGAACUUUUAUAUUUUAUUAAGGUUGAAUAUUUUAAUAUUGAAUAUUGAAGGAAGCCAUUUUCACAAGAACAUAUAGCAAUUCACAAACCAAAGAAGCUAUAACAAAAAUUUUCUAAAAGAAAAACAUUUUUGUUUUUGUGACAAUUUCUCAAAUAAAUAUUAAAUAUUUUUUGUGCAAAACAUGGAACAAUAGUUCUCGUGAACAAGGAACAUUGCUAUUCACAAUUAAAAAAACGAUAUGGACUCAUAAAAUUGUUUUCCAUUCUCCAACAAGAACUAAUAAAGAGUACUGAGACUUUGAUAUCUUGUGCUAUGUAAGUUGAUGCUAAAAUUCCCGUGCGUGACUUGCUUCAUUUUUAUUCCUUACAUCUUACUCCCUCCAUCUCAAAUUGUAAGUCAUUCCAAAAAUCUUAAAGAGUCAAACUUUUCUAAAUUUGACCAAAUUUAUAUUAUAAAAUAAUUAUUAUUAUGGUACUAACUAAGUAUCAUUAGAUUCUUUUUUAAUUAUAUUUUUAUAGUAUACUCACUUUACGUUAUAAAUCUUAGUAUUUUUCUUUAUAAUUUUGGUCAAACGUGAAAAUACUUUGACUUUGCAAGAUUGUUGGAAUGACUUACAAUUUGGGAUGGAGGGAGUACUUUUGUUCUAUUAUUUCAUUUGUUAAUGAUUAUAUACUACACCAUUGUUGUUCAAUCUAUUUUGGUAAUGAAUAAACAUCUCUCAAUCGUAUAACAUAUAGUAACUUUUUUUUAUGCAGGGUGCAAAGUAGCUCAAUACAUUCCCAUUCUCCCAGUCUCGGGUGACUGCUAAAAUUCACCGGUUGAAAUGUAGGACUAGGAAUCUAGGAUGUCAACGAUAAUAACAAGUCAGCAAUUGUGGAUUCUAUUGGAGGUGUUGCAGCGAUAGAGGCUAUACAUGGAGGCGCGACUGCAACAAUGCAUUCAUGUGUGGUGAUUGUUCUAGUGCCAUGACUAGUGAGAUGAUAGUCUAUGUGUGGUGGUGAACUAGUGAUGACGGGUCUGGUCACGGGAGGCAGACCGCAGAGGUCCAUGUGGUGGUGAAAGGUUGACAGUUUUGGCCGGAUCAUGCGUUCAAUAUGUUUCAAAUUCAAUUACACAUUAUAAAGACCGACUUUUGACGGAGUGAAGCGGAGGCAGAAGUGGCCCAUUGGUGUCGCCCUCGUCGUCACUCGGUGGGUGCGGAGGUCUGGUCCCCCGCGGUACGGUACAUAUAACCAAAUUAGGGUUCCACCUCAUACAUGAUCUUGUAAGCCGCCGUACGGCAUUGUAACCCAACUCUUAAUAAUAGUGAGGAGUGUUUGCUGGCUGGCGCCCGUGGUUUUUUUCCCUUCGCAUUGGAGGGGUUUUCCACGUUAAAUCUUGUGUCUUCGCUGUGUUUUGAUCUUGUGUUCUUCGUCGUUUAUCCGCCAUCAUUCUCAACAUCAUGUGCGUCCUGCUGCUCAUAGAGGUGAAGGGCCCAAUUUUUUAUCUUCUUCUGCCCUGCUGCUUGUGCAUCCAUUGUUUUUCAUACUUGAGGCUACCGGCUAUAGUCUGGGUUGCGGAGGUUUGAGGUUCUACAUGAGCUUAUUAUAUACUAGGUAGUUGCAUGACUGUUAGGACUUUUGACAACUUCAUUGCUUCUCUUCUUGCUGCACUAUUUAAUCCACACACAUUUUAGUUCACCUUCCAAACCAGGAUCUUGGAGUUGUUGCUAUCCAUCCUAGCAUAUCCACCGGGGAGAGUCGGCCAUAU
This 4685-nucleotide long non-coding RNA is filed under the name Sorghum bicolor (sorghum). RNAcentral's name for it is "long non-coding RNA (SBIC_LNC013384)". Lineage: Eukaryota; Viridiplantae; Streptophyta; Magnoliopsida; Poales; Poaceae. The record is from RNAcentral.